UACGGAGUACAAAGUUGUUAAAUUAACAACAUUAACCUUUAUUAGUCUAGACCUACUUAUUUUUAGCAGUCAUGGCUUGUUAGGUCGCAAGCAAUAUAUCUAGUUUUGAGAGGACAUCUCUCAAAAUGUUCUUUGAAAACUGAAUAGUAAAUAUUUUAAAAUAUUACAACGACAUCAAAAUUGAAUAAAUUUGGUUUUAUUCGUAUUGAUUCAUCGAGUAAUCAUAAUUAUUAUGAUUCAUUGAAAUGUCUUAAAAUACACAUCAUAACAACAAUAGGAAAUCUUAAUUUUUUAAUUAAGGACAUAC
This 307-nucleotide unclassified non-coding RNA is filed under the name Mycoplasmopsis californica. Its description in RNAcentral is "Mycoplasma californicum 16S-23S ribosomal RNA intergenic spacer". The record is from RNAcentral. Lineage: Bacteria; Bacillati; Mycoplasmatota; Mycoplasmoidales; Metamycoplasmataceae.